Molecule: ribosomal RNA, 1049 nt
Filed under: Maribacter sp. Ss79
Lineage: Bacteria; Pseudomonadati; Bacteroidota; Flavobacteriia; Flavobacteriales; Flavobacteriaceae
Description: bacterial SSU rRNA
Rfam family: Bacterial small subunit ribosomal RNA
Source: RNAcentral
CUACCNUGCAGUCGAGGGGCAGCGGUGGAAAAGCUUGCUUUUCCGCCGGCGACCGGCGCACGGGUGCGCACCGCGUAUGGAACCUGCCUUGUACAGGGGAAUAGCCCAGGGAAACUUGGAUUAAUGCCCCGUAGUACCGUAUUUCGGCAUCGUUAUACGGUUAAAGCCUUCGGGCGGUACAAGAUGGCCAUGCGUCCCAUUAGCUGGAUGGUAAGGUAACGGCUUACCAUGGCUACGAUGGGUAGGGGCCCUGAGAGGGGGAUCCCCCACACUGGUACUGAGACACGGACCAAACUCCUACGGGAGGCAGCAGUGAGGAAUAUUGGACAAUGGAGGGGACUCUGAUCCAGCCAUGCCGCGUGCAGGAAGAAUGCCCUAUGGGUAGUAAACUGCUUUUAUACGGGAAGAAAAAGAGCUACGUGUAGCUUACUGACGGUACCGUAAGAAUAAGGACCGGCUAACUCCGUGCCAGCAGCCGCGGUAAUACGGAGGGUCCGAGCGUUAUCCGGAAUUAUUGGGUUUAAAGGGUCCGUAGGCGGGCCGAUAAGUCAGGGGUGAAAGUCUGCCGCUCAACGGUAGAACUGCCUUUGAUACUGUCGGUCUUGAGUUAUAGUGAAGUUGCCGGAAUAUGUAGUGUAGCGGUGAAAUGCAUAGAUAUUACAUAGAACACCGAUUGCGAAGGCAGGUGACUAACUAUAUACUGACGCUGAUGGACGAAAGCGUGGGGGAGCGAACAGGAUUAGAUACCCUGGUAGUCCACGCCGUAAACGAUGGAUACUAGCUGUCCGGAACCUUGAGUUCUGGGCGGCCAAGCGAAAGUGAUAAGUAUCCCACCUGGGGAGUACGUUCGCNAGAAUGAAACUCAAAGGAAUUGACGGGGGCCCGCACAAGCGGUGGAGCAUGUGGUUUAAUUCGAUGAUACGCGAGGAACCUUACCAGGGCUUAANUGCAUANUNGACAGGGUCAGANAUGACUUUUCCUUCGGGCAAUUUGCAAGGUGCUGCAUNGGUUGUCGUCAGCUCGUGCCGUGAGGNGUCAGGUAAGUCCUG